Pelobates cultripes (western spadefoot toad) is the source of this 290-nucleotide non-coding RNA. Lineage: Eukaryota; Metazoa; Chordata; Amphibia; Anura; Pelobatidae. The record is from the annotation of a GenBank genome assembly.
CUUCAGUUGCCGUCCUCAUCCGGAAUGAAUGACACGAAAAGCCCACUGGGUCCUGACUAUACACUAUAAACGCACUGCGAAGAACAGAUGCAAAUUGAUAACGUGUAAGUGGAGACUGAUCCUCAGGGACCAAAAGUGAGACUACACCCGACGGCUAAACUGCGAAAAACUACCGAAACAAAUCGAACCAGACAAAAAACCAACACCCCCAAACAGCCUGAGCUGUUUUGAACCAUAAGUAUGGAAGGAAGUGAAGUGUAAUAAAUUAAUGUUAUUACACUUUCUAAAUA